CGACCUCAACUCAAGCAAGAUUACCCGCUGAACUU
This 35-nucleotide ribosomal RNA is filed under the name Steinernema feltiae. Its description in RNAcentral is "partial 28S ribosomal RNA". Lineage: Eukaryota; Metazoa; Nematoda; Chromadorea; Rhabditida; Steinernematidae. The record is from RNAcentral.